This 555-nucleotide ribosomal RNA is filed under the name Corynebacterium glucuronolyticum. RNAcentral describes it as "bacterial SSU rRNA". It matches the Rfam family "Bacterial small subunit ribosomal RNA", at positions 40 to 614 of the family's 1533-position model. The record is from RNAcentral. Lineage: Bacteria; Bacillati; Actinomycetota; Actinomycetes; Mycobacteriales; Corynebacteriaceae.
CGGCGUGCUUAACACAUGCAAGUCGAACGGAAAGGCUCCAGCUUGCUGGGGUGCUCGAGUGGCGAACGGGUGAGUAACACGUAAGUGAUCUGCCCUGCACUGGGGGAUAAGCUUGGGAAACUGGGUCUAAUACCCUAUAGGACCGCAUCGUGGUUGGUGUGGUGGAAAGGUUUUUCUGGUGUGGGAUGAGCUUGCGGCCUAUCAGCUUGUUGGUGGGGUAAUGGCCUACCAAGGCGGCGACGGGUAGCCGGCCUGAGAGGGUGUGCGGCCACAUUGGGACUGAGAUACGGCCCAGACUCCUACGGGAGGCAGCAGUGGGGAAUUUUGCACAAUGGGCGGAAGCCUGAUGCAGCGACGCCGUGUGGGGGAUGAAGGCCUUCGGGUUGUAAACUCCUUUCGUCAGGGACGAAGUUUUUUUGACGGUACCUGGAUAAGAAGCACCGGCUAACUACGUGCCAGCAGCCGCGGUAAUACGUAGGGUGCGAGCGUGUCCGGAUUUACUGGGCGUAAAGGCUCGUAGUGGUGUGCGCGUCGUCUGUGUAAUCCAGGCUAACU